UAGGUUGCUGUGCUUUGACUUUCCUG
This 26-nucleotide non-coding RNA is filed under the name Mus musculus (house mouse). The record is from RNAcentral. Lineage: Eukaryota; Metazoa; Chordata; Mammalia; Rodentia; Muridae.